Molecule: RNA transcript, 2680 nt
Organism: Nicotiana attenuata
Lineage: Eukaryota; Viridiplantae; Streptophyta; Magnoliopsida; Solanales; Solanaceae
Exons: 4
Source: RefSeq, a predicted model, not a curated record
UUCAGGCUGACUACUCAAAGGGGUUGUUAUUUUACUCUCUAAUCAACUGUCUUCCUCUAUACACUACUGCUAAUCCUCUUUCACUUCUCCCUUUCCUUCAAGCCAUCGCCUCUCUAGGGUUCCUUUCAUCUCCUUUCAAAGUUUCCUCUUCCCCCUUAUUCCAUUUUUCUCUUCACACGAAAUUCACUCCUUUUUUUAUUUAUCCAUUAAAAUUUAAUUCACAUUUAUAUAUAUUUCCAUCCAUGUAAUUACUCAUUAGAUUUCACAAUGAGGAUUUCUUGGUUUCUUAAGAGUCAAUUGCCUUGAUAUAGUUCCUUCAAAUUAUCCGAUCGGCUGUUUGUUGUUACUCUUUGAGAGAAAUUGAAGAAAAUAUUGAUUUGGGUAUUAUUUGUUUGUUAAAUCUGAGAAAAGAAUUAUUACUAUGGCUUCUACAGUACCGGCGAAGUCGAAUAAUCCACUUCAUAACUUCGAUUUUUCCCACUUGAAAUGGAAGAAGAAUCAUCAUUCGAACAAUCACCAACGCCGCCGCUCCAACAAGCUGUCGUCGGACUCUUCCUCUCCGUCACGGCACGAUUCGCCGCUAAGACACUCUCAGUCCCAGUCCCCCAUGCGUGAAUCCCUCGCGGCGGCACGUCAGUCUCCAAUAAGUGAAUCUGCUGCGACGGCGCGUCAAUCGCCGAUGCACAAUUCGGCUGCGGCGGCGCGUCACUCUCCGAUGCGCGAUUCUGCUGCGGCUGCUCGCCGGUCUCCGAUGCAUGAACCUAUAGCGGGGUUUCGCCGGUCUCCGAUGCACGAUUCUGCUACGGCGCGUCAGUCUCCGAUGCGUGAUCCCGUUCCGUCGGUUCAACAAUCAAAGCAUAAGGUAACAGAGAUUAAUGCUGUCAGUAGCAAAGAAAGCAGAUCCAAAAUCUUAAUCAAAAUCCCUCGCAAAAACAAAUCUGAAGAAAUUCAAAUUAGCGAGGAUCAAAAUCAAAAGGAGGCAGACGAAUCACACGACGAAGCUGCAGCAGCUGAAGAAACAGCACAAAAAACGUGGAAUCUGAGACCUCGAAAACCAAUACAUAAAUCACUGAAUAUAAACGGAGGAGUUCCAUUUCGAUCCAGUGGAUCCGCGAUGCAGGAGAUCAAAUCUCAAUCACCUCAUCAGAUUAUGAACAUGAACAAGCCGGAAAAUAAUGAAACCCAUGCUGCUUCUGCUCAGAAGAAGGAAAAAAGACAAAGGUUUUCCAUGGCCUUAUCCAGAGAAGAGAUCGAUGAAGAUAUAUAUGCUAUGACUGGAUUAAAAGCUGCUAGAAGACCUAAGAAGAGAGUUAAAGCUGUUCAGAAACAACUUGAUACACUCUUCCCUGGUUUAUGGCUUGCUUCAAUAACUCCUGAUUCAUAUAAAGUUUGUGAAAAUCUUCCAAAGGGUUAGAAGAAAUUCUUCAAAGAUGGUUUGUCCUUCGAAUGUCCUUGGUUUUUGUGGAAGUUUGAAGGUGAAGGCUUCCAAAUUUUAUGAUUUGCAUUUGGAGGAUGAAAAUGAUGCAAAAUUCUUAAGGGGUGAUAUGUGAUCUUAAUUCGAUCAAUAAUGGACAAAUGGUAACCUACUUUAGAAUAAAGCACACAAAACCUUCUAACAUCAUCUAUUAUGAUCCUCCUUUGAACUAACUUUGUUUUUGCUAUCCUUUAGUUAGGAUAUAGAUUAGAAGUCACACCUCAAUGAUCAUGCAUAAAGUUUGGGAUGCCAAACUCAAUUUGUAUCUUUUUGCAUAUCAAUGAUAAAUGGUGACUGUUUAAUAAAUAAAAAAAAGUUUCAUAAAGGACAUUUGAUUUUGUUCUAAAUGAAAUUUUGUUGUGCUUUUGGAUUUUAAGUUCAGAAAUAGUAUUUUCAGCCUUGUAACGGUAACUGUUAGAAAUGUUAUCGGACGCAAUUCUCUUCUCCCAAAUGCAUUAUCUGAUUGGGAGGCUGGCAAUUGGCUAAGCUGAUAUGUGGAGGAGCUGCCAUUUUGACAUUAACUAUCCCACUAAAUACAAGCUAUCUUGUCACUAUAUACCUGUUGAAGUAGGUCAGUGGGAGGUAAUAUGUCAUACGUAUAUAUAAUUAUUUGAUGAAUGUACACAAGCAGAAAGGUUUCAUUACUUUUUCACUGCUGCAUUUUUGGACUUCUCAACUAACCCAUGGUUUUAGACAGCCUUAAACUGACCUGGUUUGGCUGAAUUAAGUGGACAAGUUGUGAAGCGGAAGAACAUGUCCAGGUUCAACUUUGUGCAUCUUCUCAUAAUAGAGUUUGCUGCACAUCAUAGAGCUUAUAAUUUCUUUCCCUGCUUCCUGAUCAUAGGCGAGGAACCUGAACAUUUGGCUUGCAACACAAUGUGCUGCUUUAUUAGAAGUCAUUACUUCAUCGCUUAAGGAGAUGCGACACGAUUAUUGCUUCAUGGUGAAGCUAUGCGCUUUAGGGAAGUGUGCGCUGCUUCAAACAUGAGGCACAAAGUAAUCCGAACAAGCUAUUAGUACUUUGAAUCUCAACUGUGAGGAGUUGGAUUAGUAUUGACAUUAUUAUAUAUUAGGCAUUAGAUGCUGAAAUUAGUUAUUUACUUACAAUUUAUUGAUUAUUGUUUUACUAAAUUCAUAUAUGUUUGACAUAAUUUAAUUUUCUGUAAAUUGUGCAUUUCACUUCAAUGAAGCGUGUGCUUAGGUUCA